This 305-nucleotide ribosomal RNA is filed under the name uncultured bacterium. RNAcentral's name for it is "bacterial SSU rRNA". It matches the Rfam family "Bacterial small subunit ribosomal RNA", at positions 335 to 657 of the family's 1533-position model. The record is from RNAcentral.
AAACCUACGGGGGGCAGCAGUGGGGAAUAUUGCACAAUGGGGGAAACCCUGAUGCAGCAACGCCGCGUGAGUGAAGAAGUAUUUCGGUAUGUAAAGCUCUAUCAGCAGGGAAGAAAAUGACGGUACCUGACUAAGAAGCCCCGGCUAACUACGUGCCAGCAGCCGCGGUAAUACGUAGGGGGCAAGCGUUAUCCGGAUUUACUGGGUGUAAAGGGAGCGUAGGCGGUGCAGCAAGUCUGAUGUGAAAGGUCGGGGCCCAACCCCGGGACUGCAUUGGAAAAUGUUGAACUGGAGUACAGGAGGGG